UUGCCCUCUUAAGGCUGGGUGGUGCUUUAAGGGGCCAACACUGAAGGGUAGAGCAGUAUUCUCUUAAACACCAAGGGGAGGAUGAAGAUCCUUCCCUGGAGCUUGUUGGGAGAAACAUGU
Small nucleolar RNA from Heteronotia binoei (common prickly gecko), 120 nucleotides. RefSeq annotates it as small nucleolar RNA SNORA26. The record is from RefSeq and is a predicted model, not a curated record. NCBI's taxonomy places the organism in Eukaryota, Metazoa, Chordata, Lepidosauria, Squamata, Gekkonidae. The transcript has a single exon.